UCAAAGCAAGGCACUGAAAAUGCUUAGAUGGAUAUAUUAUCCCAUAAACA
RNAcentral lists this transfer RNA (50 nucleotides) under Typomys planifrons (Miller's striped mouse). RNAcentral describes it as "Hybomys planifrons (Miller's striped mouse) partial tRNA-Phe". Lineage: Eukaryota; Metazoa; Chordata; Mammalia; Rodentia; Muridae. The record is from RNAcentral.